GGGGGCAGGGGCAGAAAACUAAAAGGAAGAAAUGCUUUUAAGGUACUCUAAAAAGAAAUACAGUUUUCUGGAUUUACUACCUGAAGAAUGAAUAUUCAGAAGUACAGAGCUAUGCAGAAUGAAUGGGAACAUACUGUUUGUUUAAUAAGUCCCAGCAGAGACAGUUCAAGCAUAUGUUUUCACAUCACCUGGAGGUAGCUGGGAAGGACUGUGGCAACACUGUCAAGAAAGUGACAGUUUACAAGAUUUUAUGUAUUUUACCGUAUAGAGCACGGCUCACCUUCGACAUGCGUGAAAUCACUUAAAGGUCUGUACCCAAGGCCUGAGAUGGUCUCCUCAUCCUUUUACCAACUCAUAACCCUAGUCUGACAGUGUGAAAGCUUUGCUCCUUGGACAUGAGAAGGAAACAGUCAAAUGAGCAUAUGUGCUCGUUAAUCCCAUGUGCCUGUCCUCAAGGCUCACAUAACCCACCCGGUGCUAUGCCUGCUGUCCUGCGUUGGAUAAUGAACCCAAGCUGGGGUACUUCCAAAACUUCUUCGUAGGCAGCUGGGUCACAUUGUGCUGCUCUAGGUGAUGCAAUAGGCAUAUGUUGGCAUGUAUUUUUACAAAACAUAAAGCUACUCUGAUAUAUGAAUUCCAUCCCUUGUAUCAAUGUGAUGUUUCUUUGUAACAUCACCCUUUUAGAGAAUACAAGCUGCCUCUGCAAAUACUAUUUAAAGCUUUCCAGAUCUUAUUAAAUAUCCCAUCUUUCUGCCUCUAAUGUUUAUUUACUCAGAUGUUCACAUCCAAGGUAUACUGACAGCAGCAGCUAAAACCUCAACACAUUGUUCUCUACCGGUGUGAAAAUUAUUAUUCUAUAAGUACAUUUUUGCAUUAUACCUGAAAUUAUCAGUCUUGGAUCAUGCUAUCAAAAAGACAGGCCUGAACUGCAGAAGAUCGCAAUUUUAACUAAUUUCCCAACUGUUAAAUUGCAGUAAAGUCUAUAUUAAGCAACCCUUUGGUGUGCCAUUAACCUAAUUCUUACAGUUUAACUUCGAACUGUUGAUUAGAGUUAUUUAAAAUAAUGGGUAUGACUUCAGUAGGGCCCAGCAUAAAUAGGGAGCCAUUAUAAAAAAAAUUAAUAUAUACAGUUUGUGUUGUAAGUUUUGAAUAUUACUGCUACUUUUUUAAUGUCUGUUUUGAACUUUUUUGGUAUUUAAGUUAUUUAUUGUUCAGCUUGAACAGAAUACUUAACUCUGGUAAUAAGACCUUCUUAAACUGUGUAUGUAGAUUGUACUUAGGAAGAAAUUUUAGCUUGUUUUGUCUCAUAGUUCUUCUGUGCUUUUAAUCAUUGAGUUAGUAUAAGGAUAUCUUAGGCUUUAACACCAUUUCCCUGUAGAUUAAUUAUUCCCAUAUAAAAUUAAUAUGUAUUGAACAUAUGUACUUGCUUACGGUAGCAGACUUGGCUGUUUCAUUUCAUAUAAAUCUUCUGUCACACAAAACAAAACCUUCAUAUUUAAGACUUCUUUGGUCAUUAAAAUUGAAUUACGUAGUAGGCUUCCAUCUGCUAUCAAAACCUGUUCAACAUUAUUCCCUGUCAUUUUAAGUGGGAUUGCUCUGAGAUCCGUUUACUGACAGCAGGCUUGCUGCUCCUGCCCUACCCCACUCCUAGUCAGGGCUUCCUUCCUCGCUGCAAGGGCAUCUUGAUGUUAAUUGCCUUCUCAGAAGGUUUUCUCCAGGAGUUGGGUUCUUGUUUCUUCUGUGUUGCCAUCCUCUACAUCCUUAUGCUUGUGUAUUUAAGUGGUGCACAAGUUCUGCCACUUACUGCCCCCAGCCCAUUACAUUUAUUGCUCUGUGUUUAGGGGGGAUGAUCAGCUUUGCUAUCUGUCAAACUCAGCCACUAUCGCCAUGACACUGAUCACGGUUAGCAGAGCAGUUACUAUUAAAUGAUUGGCAAUGGAACAACAAGAGAGUGGAUAGAGAAGAUGGAUAGCUCAGCAUUGCUGCGCUUAAAUGUGAGCUGUAAGCAGCAGUUUGGAGCUGGAUAAAUACAAUCUGAUUGCUGUAAUGACAGCUAGGCUGCACGUUAUUGCAAAUGCUCUCUCUGUAAGAAUAGCUGAGGACUGGAAUAGAUGACCGAAGCAGGGGCAGGAAUUUCACAGAAAGUUUAUUUUUUUUAAGAACUGCACUGAUAAGUGGGGCUAGAUAUGCUUUAGGAAACCAGAUUGUGCUUUAUAGUGAAGGAGCUGGACCUGAUAACUUCAUGAGGUCACUGCUGGUCCUGGCUGAGGCUGUUUGAAGCUCCAAAUGUCUAAUACAGGUAUGCAGGAAGGAGGGCAGAGAGGAAGGCCAACUUAAGUAAUUAAUAACUUAUGGAGUAUAUGAGGCCUCGGGAUUUUUCUUGAACAAACCACUUAGUUGCUGGAAGACUGAACAGUUCCAGGAUUAUCUGAUCCAGCCCGAUAUCGAUACCAUUGCGAUAUCUGGCAAAAGGAAUGAUAUUUUUUCCUUGAGUCCUACAAUGAAGAAAACAAAUCCAUGGGCAAAGAUAACACCUUCAGCAUCCUCCUCCCAGGCAAAUAAAUGAGAAGACAGUUCAGUUCAAUCCAGGUGCCAUACAGUAUUUUUUUUAUUUAUCCUUUAUGAUACCUUUCAGGUUAUAGUUUUUUCUUUUUCAUUAAGCACGAUUUUGUUUUUCCAUUAUGCAGCCAUCUGAAUUACUGACACCUUGCCUGUUUCUUUCCUUUAUGAAAUUAUCUAAACUUUUAAAAGAAGAUUUAAAACUUUAUUAAAUUUGAUAAUAAACAGAGCAGACGUUUACUCCCUCAAUUUCCUGAUAUCUACAAAUGUUGCAACAUUUUUAGAAUGUGCUUUUUCCUCCUGGCUUGGGCAGAUGUUGUUCUAUUAAAGUUUGAAAAAAUCGAAGGAAAUGGUUUUGUUAUGUUUUAUGUGGCAAUAAAACUACUGAAUUAAAACAAUGACACUAUUGAUUACCCUUUGAUAUAAGAAAUUUAUCUAAAUUAAUUAUCUUUUGCUAUUUGCUAAAAAUAUUAGAAUGUGAAAAUUCACAAUGAUAGAACAUCUGUUGAACAGAGGACUUAUUAAAGAUACUGUAAUAAGCUAUGUAAUGAAUGCUUUCAGCUUCCAAAAGAGGAAAAUAUUGUGUAUGACAUUUAUUUAAAUAAUUUGCCUCAAUUCAAGAUUUCCAUUCUACUGCUAAGAAAAAGAAGCAAUUUUGCCUUGGAAACAUUACAAUUAAAUGUGUAAGCUUUACAGCAAGAGAAGGUAAAAUUAUAAUGUGGGAAUAUGUAAGUUAAAACAACUAAUGCAGGUUGUAGACAAAAAAGAUUUAUUUGAAGUCCUGCUUAGAGGCACAACACGUGGCAUACUGCAUUGAACUGGGUUUGAAUUUGGCUCAGGGUGACUUUUCUUCAGUCCCAAUCCUUCUGUUCAUAUUUUUUCUACUUCUCAGGAGUCUUUAUUUCAGAUCUUUUGGAGAUUUAAUCCUGGGAGUAGCUGAAAGACUUAGUCUUUUCUCCGCUGAUUUCCUCAAGAGGCAGCAAGCAUGAAUAAGUGUACAAAAUGAUGCAUUAUGCAAGCCAUCUCUUCUGGAUGCUUCUUGAAUUUCUUUUGCAUGUGCAAGCUUGUCCUUGCUUAUCAAAAUUCCUGUGUUUGAGAUAGGAAGCACAUAGUUCAUAGGAUGACCUACAAAGGUUCCUACAAACAUCCUCACCAUUCCUUACAAGGACUGAUUUUUUUUUUCUCUUGCAACCAUUCCUUCCUGAUGAGGAGGCUUACACCACAUCAAAUGAAACAUUAUGAGCACGAUAUGAUAAUGCGGGCCAAGCUGGAGAGUCUCUCAUUCCAUAUAAAUAAUUUCUUCAUAGAUGUUUUGUGAAAUGGGGAAGAGAGUUGUUGUUUCACUGGAACUCUUUGAGGGCUUUUCACAAACGCACAUUUUUGCUCUUGUGCACCCUGGCACUGUCUGGCUGUCAGCAGCUGAAAGGGCAUGCUGUUGACUGCUAUGGGGCUUGUCAUCCUUCAUAUGUAAGGGGAUAAGUGAUGGUCACUUUGACCUUCUACCCUGCCAUUAAUAUUCACUGUAAGUCUGGCAGUCAGGGAAGAACAACAACUCCACACUGGGGAACGCGGUUGCUUCUGCCAGUUUUCAAGAGGAUAAAUCUAAUGGUAAAGAACUGGUUUGUAGUGAGCUUGUUGGGACUUCAACUUCUCUUUUAUACAGGGAUACUUGGAGCAGGGAUUGGCAAAUGACAAGAUUGCAAGAAUUGUUUUCUCCUAUUAGUAUAUAUCUAGUACAGAUAGUAUCUUGCCAUUCCAUAACAUUUUUAUGUCAUUAGAGAACACUGCUAUCAUGUCAUUUUGUAGUUUGCUGAGGUAUGUAGUAUUGUGUGACCCUUUGCUGAUUAGGUAAAAAUCGUCUCAGGAAUAUUUGGGUCUCUCUCGUUAUCUGAAUGCUUCUUAGAUUUCUCUGUCCAUAAAGUGUGCCAAAUUAAGGCUGAAUAAUAACCUUCUCUGGUCCAAAUCCACAGGAGGGGACUCAGGGUCAGCCCUCUUAAAGGAAAUACUAGGUAGUCAAAGGAUGAGCAAAAAUGAGAGGAAAAAGGCUGCUCCCAAAUUUAUCGCCUCCCCACUCCACCAAAUGCUUCAUGAUUUGUAUAAAGUAGUGGAUGUUUCUAGUCUUCUUGUUAAUACUGAUCUGUAAUGCACCUUGCUCAUGCAUGAUCUGUGAGUUGAAGUCGCAGUGGGCAAGUCUGCAAAAUAUGAAUUGUUUUAGCUGUGUAAUGUAAAUGAGGAAUCUGAAUGUGAAUAUUUAUAGACUCUGUUUUGGACUGAGAAGUAGGAUUUCUGUUGUCAAUCAGAAGACUGACCAGACUGUAAACAAGAUGUCUGUGACCUUGCUGGGUGGAAGAUGUGCAGACCGACAAACGCGUGUACGUGGCAUCAGGGGAUAUGCUGCAUGAACAAGGUGUUUGGCACUGUUAGUGACUGGUACCUGUGCAUGUGCUUUGCUAUGGAGAAAAACAAUUGAUUAGUAACUGCUCAGUAUGUGAUAACUAGUACACUGGGAACUGAGUAAGUACACAUAAAAUGUACAUGACCUUCCCAGGAAUAAGUAUGGAUAGAGAUAUAACUGGUUAAGCCCUUUUCAAACACAGCCACAAAUUCAAGUCUGACUAAUCUUGAGAGAGAUUCUUUGGAUUGUGUGAAUAAAACUUUUGCUCUCUGACUUUGAGUGUGGCAUUGUACUGAACCAGGCACGACAGAAACAAGGGCUAACAACAUUUUGUUUAUAAACUGAGUGUAAAACUCUGAUUUAGUGUUUUGCAAGACACAUUCAAAGAACUUUGUCUGUACUUUAGUGUGGCCAAAACUUAAACAUUUUGCUGUAUUCUGGGCACUAAAAAUGUAGAUUUAACUCAAAAGGUAUAAAAGGUUGGAAAACGAUUA
This is a long non-coding RNA of Anas platyrhynchos (mallard), 5448 nucleotides long. RefSeq lists it as uncharacterized. The record is from RefSeq and is a predicted model, not a curated record. Lineage: Eukaryota; Metazoa; Chordata; Aves; Anseriformes; Anatidae.